Cyanothece sp. is the source of this 72-nucleotide transfer RNA. It matches the Rfam family "tRNA". From Rfam's summary of the family: Transfer RNA (tRNA) molecules are approximately 80 nucleotides in length. Their secondary structure includes four short double-helical elements and three loops (D, anti-codon, and T loops). Further hydrogen bonds mediate the characteristic L-shaped molecular structure. tRNAs have two regions of fundamental functional importance: the anti-codon, which is responsible for specific mRNA codon recognition, and the 3' end, to which the tRNAs corresponding amino acid is attached (by aminoacyl-tRNA synthetases). tRNAs cope with the degeneracy of the genetic code in two manners: having more than one tRNA (with a specific anti-codon) for a particular amino acid; and 'wobble' base-pairing, i.e. permitting non-standard base-pairing at the 3rd anti-codon position. The record is from Rfam. NCBI's taxonomy places the organism in Bacteria, Bacillati, Cyanobacteriota, Cyanophyceae, Gomontiellales, Cyanothecaceae.
GGGUUACUAGCUCAACGGUAGAGCACUGGACUCUUAAUCCAUUGGUUCAGGGUUCGAAUCCCUGGUGACCCA